Molecule: ribosomal RNA, 491 nt
Filed under: uncultured bacterium
Lineage: Bacteria
Description: partial 16S ribosomal RNA
Rfam family: Bacterial small subunit ribosomal RNA
Source: RNAcentral
GAACGCUGGCGGCGUGCUUAACACCUGCAAGUCGAACGGUGAAGCGCCUUCCUUUUUGGUGGGUGUGGAUGAGUGGCGAACGGGUGAGUAACACGUGAGUAACCUGCCCCCUUCUUCUGGAUAACCGCAUGAAAGUGUGGCUAAUACGGGAUAUUCUGGGUCUGUCGCAUGAUGGGUCUGGGAAAGAUAUUGUUUCGGUGGGGGAUGGGCUCGCGGCCUAUCAGCUUGUUGGUGGGGUGAUGGCCUACCAAGGCGGUGACGGGUAGCCGGCCUGAGAGGGUGGACGGUCACACUGGGACUGAGACACGGCCCAGACUCCUACGGGAGGCAGCAGUGGGGAAUAUUGCACAAUGGGCGCAAGCCUGAUGCAGCGACGCCGCGUGAGGGAUGGAGGCCUUCGGGUUGUGAACCUCUUUCGCCAGUGAAGCAGGCCUGCCUCGUUUGUGGGUGGGUUGACGGUAGCUGGAUAAGAAGCGCCGGCUAACUACGUG